This 301-nucleotide ribosomal RNA is filed under the name uncultured bacterium. Its description in RNAcentral is "partial 16S ribosomal RNA". It matches the Rfam family "Bacterial small subunit ribosomal RNA", at positions 509 to 807 of the family's 1533-position model. The record is from RNAcentral.
CAGUAGCCACGGUAAUACGAAGGGGGCUAGCGUUGCUCGGAAUCACUGGGCGUAAAGGGUGCGUAGGCGGGUCUUUAAGUCAGGGGUGAAAUCCUGGAGCUCAACUCCAGAACUGCCUUUGAUACUGAAGAUCUUGAGUUCGGGAGAGGUGAGUGGAACUGCGAGUGUAGAGGUGAAAUUCGUAGAUAUUCGCAAGAACACCAGUGGCGAAGGCGGCUCACUGGCCCGAUACUGACGCUGAGGCACGAAAGCGUGGGGAGCAAACAGGAUUAGAGACCCGAGUAGUCCCUGUCUCUUAUAC